This 1216-nucleotide ribosomal RNA is filed under the name uncultured archaeon. Its description in RNAcentral is "bacterial SSU rRNA". It matches the Rfam family "Archaeal small subunit ribosomal RNA", at positions 1 to 993 of the family's 1478-position model. The record is from RNAcentral.
UUCCGGUUGAUCCUGCCGGAGGUCACUGCUAUUGGGAUUCGACUAAGCCAUGCGAGUCGAGAGGGUUCGGCCCUCGGCAAACGGCUCAGUAACACGCGGAUAAUCUGCCCUUAGGUGGAGGAUAACCUCGGGAAACUGAGAAUAAUACUCCAUAGAUCUAGGAUGCUGGAAUGCACUUAGAUUGAAAGUUCCGGCGCCUAAGGAUGAGUCUGCGGACUAUCAGGUAGUAGUCAGGGUAAAGGCCUGACUAGCCUACGACGGAUACGGGUUGUGAGAGCAAUAACCCGGAGACGAUAUCUGAGACACGAUAUCGGGCCCUACGGGGCGCAGCAGGCGCGAAACCUUCACAAUGUGCGAAAGCGCGAUGAGGGGAUCCCAAGUGCUUGCUCGUAAGAGUAAGCUGUUUUUAUGUCUAAAACGCAUAGAGAGUAAGGGCUGGGUAAGACGGGUGCCAGCCGCCGCGGUAAUACCUGCAGCUCAAGUGGUGACCGCUAUUAUUGGGCCUAAAACAUUCGUAGCCGGUUUGGUAAAUGCCUGGGUAAAUCGUGUAGCUUAACUAUACGAAUUCCGGGUAGACUGCCAAACUUGAGACCGGGAGAAGCUAGAGGUACUCCUUGGGUAGAGGUGAAAUUCUGUAAUCCUAGGGGGACCACCAGUGGCGAAGGCGUCUAGCUAGAACGGGUUUGACGGUGAGGAAUGAAGCCCUGGGUCGCAAACCGGAUUAGAUACCCGGGUAGUCCAGGGUGUAAACGCUGCUUGCUUGAUGUUAGUUGGGCUCCGAGCCCAAUUAGUGUCGGAGAGAAGUUGUUAAGCAAGCUGCCUGGGAAGUACGAUCGCAAGAUUGAAACUUAAAGGAAUUGGCGGGGGAGCACAGCAACGGGUGGAGCGUGCGGGUUUAAUUGGAUUCAACGCCGGAAUCACUAGUGCGGGCCGCCUGCAGGUCGACCAUAUGGGAGAGCUCCCAACGCGUUGGAUGCAUAGCUUGAGUAUUCUAUAGUGUCACUAAAUAGCUUGGCGUAAUCAUGGUCAUAGCUGUUUCCUGUGUGAAAUUGUUAUUCCGCUCACAUUCCACACAACAUACGAGCCGGAGCAUAAGUGUAAGCCUGGGGUGCUAUGAGUGGAGCUACUCACAUAAUGCGAUGCCGCUCACUGCCGGCUUCAGUCGGAACUGUCUGCCAGCUGCAUUAUGAUCGGUAACGCCCCGGGGAAGAGGCCG